UUAACAGGGGACUUUGCUACUCUUACUUAAAUACGAAGACACGGACUGACGCCUUGACCUUUCUUUCAAUCGAAGGAGGGCUAUUUAAAAAGAGAAAGAAAAAGGGUUUACAGAGCGGACUACCAGGAUGAGAAAGAGUAUGUGAAGGCGGUAAGACAUUAUUAUUUGAAAGUUCCCUUCUGGUAUUCUAUCUAAAUCUCUUUGAGAAUCUAUGAAUGGAAAUAAUUUCUUAGAAAUUCAUGUGAUUAAGAAUGGAAAUCUUCUACAAAAAAAAAAUAGAAUAUCCACUUAAAUGUGGGUAUAACUCGUCGCCACUCUAGUUGUCCUUCUUGCUGCUUACUUUCUUACAUAAGACGGAAAGAAGAUAUUAUUAUAUGAAGACUGGAGCCUAGCUCUCUUUUAUAUCCGUUUGAAGCUACUGAUUAUGGCUAAAAUGACUAGCCGAGCCGGCCUUCUCCGCCCAUCAACUCCUCCUGCUCUCUCUAAUCAACUAGGUUCGGUAAGAACUAUGCUCAGGUAGCAGUGCGCUAGAAAGAAAUGAUCGAAUCAAUUGAUUUGGUUUAUAAGACGAGCUGUGGGAUAGGUACCCGGGCCUAUUUCGGGCCUAUUAAGGGAUGUAAUAGUAGAGAAAUUGAAUAAAGCUGAGUGCUGGUAGGAGAAAUGGGACGGCAGUGAAAAAUCUCACAAAGAAAGAAGGGUACUAAACUACUCUUUGUCAGUAAGGAAGUUGGCCUCUGAGAGCCAGCCUAACAUAGGUAUGUAAAUUGGGAUCUUUGCUCUUGGGAGAAUAUAAAGCUAGCACUCUCAAAUCUCAGAUUAGUGUGCACGGAGAUAAAAAAAAAGAGAGAGAGUCAUAGUGGGGAAAGUAAGCGCUAUCAGGAGCCUGAAAGCCAUCCUGAAGUGGGGCUGAGGAAGAUCUCCUCCACCUACUUUUGAUGGGUAAAUUGUUCAAUCUUUCCUUAAUCGGGCUAGUAGUCAAGUCACUAACUUUGAAGUAGUUCAUUUACUUUCACAAUGGAAGGCUUCUAAUUGGCUAAGGUCUUGGUGACCUUAGUAGCGGAGUAAGACUCGAAAGUGCUAUCACUACCAGUUGUGGAUGUGCUGA
RNAcentral lists this long non-coding RNA (1105 nucleotides) under Linum usitatissimum (flax). RNAcentral's name for it is "long non-coding RNA (LUSI_LNC005331)". Lineage: Eukaryota; Viridiplantae; Streptophyta; Magnoliopsida; Malpighiales; Linaceae. The record is from RNAcentral.